GGGCCGCCGGGAAUACUGCAUAGCUAGGGAGUGGGAGAGGUAGACGGUACUCCGUAGGAAGGGGUAAAAUCCUUUGAUCUAUGGAUGACCACCUGUGGCGAAGGCGGUCUACCAGAACACGUUCGACGGUGAGGGAUGAAAGCUGGGGGAGCAAACCGGAUUAGAUACCCGGGUAGUCCCAGCUGUAAACUAUGCAAACUCAGUGAUGCAUUGGCUUGUGGCCAGUGCAGUGCCGCAGAGAAGUCGUUAAGUUUGCCGCCUGGGAAGUACGUACGCAAGUAUGAAACUUAAAGGAAUUGGCGGGGGAGCACCACAAGGGGUGAAGCCUGCGGUUCAAUUGGAGUCAACGCCAGAAAUCUUACCCGGAGAGACAGCAGGAUGAAGGUCAAGCUGAAGACUUUACCAGACAAGCUGAGAAGUGGUGCAUGGCCGUCGCCAGCUCGUGCCGUGAGGUGUCCUGUUAAGUCAGGUAACGAGCGAGAUCCUUGCCUCUAGUUGCCACCAUUACUCUCAGGAGUAGUGGGGCGAAUUAGCGGGACUGCCGUAGUUAAUACGGAGGAAGGAGAGGGCCACGGCAG
RNAcentral lists this ribosomal RNA (578 nucleotides) under uncultured archaeon. RNAcentral describes it as "bacterial SSU rRNA". It matches the Rfam family "Archaeal small subunit ribosomal RNA", at positions 568 to 1144 of the family's 1478-position model. The record is from RNAcentral.